RNAcentral lists this small RNA (53 nucleotides) under Sinorhizobium meliloti 2011. RNAcentral describes it as "putative ncRNA". Lineage: Bacteria; Pseudomonadati; Pseudomonadota; Alphaproteobacteria; Hyphomicrobiales; Rhizobiaceae. The record is from RNAcentral.
AUGCCGUUAAAUUUAUGUUUGGACUUUUGGCGGAUCAGUGUUAAUGCAGUAAA